UGAUGUAUACGAUGCGCCCCACGUUGUC
Molecule: small RNA, 28 nt
Filed under: Bombyx mori (domestic silkworm)
Lineage: Eukaryota; Metazoa; Arthropoda; Insecta; Lepidoptera; Bombycidae
Description: ovarian small RNA-32906
Source: RNAcentral